RNAcentral lists this transfer RNA (73 nucleotides) under Danionella translucida. It matches the Rfam family "tRNA". Rfam says of the family: Transfer RNA (tRNA) molecules are approximately 80 nucleotides in length. Their secondary structure includes four short double-helical elements and three loops (D, anti-codon, and T loops). The record is from Rfam by way of RNAcentral. RNAcentral also lists the same sequence under 1 other name. Lineage: Eukaryota; Metazoa; Chordata; Actinopteri; Cypriniformes; Danionidae.
GCUGAAAUAGCUCAGUUGGGAGAGCGUUAGACUGAAGAUCUAAAGGUCAGUGGUUGAAUCCCGGGUUUCGGCA